GCUGUUCAGGUUUUCCUGCCCUCCUCCCUGCCCGGUACCCCACAUCACAGACCGGAUAGGCUUUCUAUGCCUUUGGUGCGGCUGCCAGCCACGGCCGGGAUGGCCACCGCUGAGGGCUUGCACCCGAGCCCAUUUGAAUGACAGAAGGCUCUGGCCGGCCCUUGUGAACAGGAGGAACCCCCUGCCCUCUCUCUCCAUCUUGGGAAGUGAGGGACCUGUAAUCUAUGAGCCCCCAUCAUGUCAUUUCGAUUAGUGCAUGAACAAACUCUCGGCCGGGGGUGGAGAGGAGGUGGCCUAGCCCCCACCUACCCACCCACCCUUUGGGGGGGGAUAAUUUAUGGAAUACCAGCAAGCAGAGUUCCUCCCCUCCUUUUGGCAUGAGACCGUGCCCCAUGUCACCCCCCCCCAAAUUCAUAGGAUUCUCAAGAUCUGGGGUGGGGGGGGCAGAGGAGAAGACCUCCUUUCCCCGGCCAUCCAUCCAGAACAGGGGCCAAAUCUGUUUAAUCCGCUUUUCUGCCUCUUCUGAGUCAAUAGGGUGCCCCACAGCACCCUCCGACAUUUAUUAUUCAUUCUUCCUCUUCCCUCCUGUCUCUCGGAUCCUAUUUAAGAAAAAAAGGGGGGGAGAGACGUCAAUAGGGUGCCCCACACCACCCUCCGACAUUUAUUAUUCAUUCUUCCUCUUCCCUCCUGUCUCUCGGAUCCAAUUUAAGGUGCCGAGGAAGAAGAAGAAGAAAAAAAGGGGGGGGAGAGACAUUUGGAAAAAUAAUGAUCAGAAAAAGGACCCAGCCCAGACCUGA
RNAcentral lists this long non-coding RNA (797 nucleotides) under Pogona vitticeps (central bearded dragon). RNAcentral describes it as "lncRNA (ENSPVIG00000016976.1)". The record is from RNAcentral. Lineage: Eukaryota; Metazoa; Chordata; Lepidosauria; Squamata; Agamidae.